CCCGCACUUCCCAGCACUUGCUGCCCUUGAGCGGCACCCAGGGUGGGAGCCAGGCCACCCGGGCAGGCCCAGGAGGCCGGUAGAGCGGUGGCCUGGGGCCCGGCUCUGCAGCACUCUGAAGUCACCUGAGCAAGCAUCACUGGAGACCUGGCCCUGCCAGCAGGUGUCCUGGCUGCUCACCAGGGCCCUGUCUCCAUCCACAAACCCUGUGGUGCAGAGGGCGGUCUGUGGACUCAGUGGGGGCCGUCUGGGGGCCGAUGAGGACUGCGCCUCGGUGGGAUGGGCGCAGUGGGGGUGCAGCGGGAGGGGCUCCGGGAAGCGGGGGCCAGAGCCACGUCCUGGAGCCAGGCCGACCCAGGCCACUGCUCGCUGACAGAGGAACAGAUGCUUCUGGGGCCGUGGUUUGGGUUAAGUGUGGCGCUUUUCCUUUAACCUUAUUGCAAAAUAAUACGGGCUCCUCACAGGAACCGCCCCCCCCACCUGUUGCUCCAAAAUGGUCACGUGUUGUCCAUUUUCAUUAGGGACACGAUGCGGAGCGUUUCCGCCCUUGGCUUCGGCCCCCGAGGUGACCGCACCGUGGGUGUUGCAUGCACUUCAGAUUCUGUCAUCGUUUCCUCUGCUUGCACAUUCCUUUUGAACAAGGGAGGUUUAUCCCUGCGGCCGGGUGGGCGUAGCACCCUGUCCUUAGCGCCCGCCCCCUGCCCUGCCAGGCCCUGCCAGGCCCUGCCUCUAGGCGCCCUUCCUCUGCUCUUGGGCUUCUUCCUCCCAGGGUCUGGCCGGUAACUAUUUAGAAAGUGAAGAAAAACCCUUAACAGCUGACCUCCGCUUCCUCUUCGGGAAAGGAGCACACCUUGGUGGUGGCGGCUGCAGGUGGCUCGGCCUGGCCAGGGAGGCCUGGCGGGCGCGUGCAGAGGCUCAGAGUGGGAGGCCGGGUCGCAGCCGUGGGGGGCGAGGAUGCCUGGGCGGAUGGUGGAUUUGAGCUUCUUUGUGCAGCUCCACGGCCCCAGGUCUCGGGUGAACUCUGCCCCCUGCUCCCCUGCAUGCGCCCCAUCCCCUUCCCUUUGCUGACUGGGAGCAGGCUUUGUCGGUUUUCCAGCCCCUGAGUCUUGUCUUCACGGCGACUGUGCUGUUUCCUUAAUGAAAUCCAAAAUUUUAAAAGCGUCCCCUUAAAAAACCCAAGCUCUCUGGCCGCCAGUCAACUCCCAAGUGCCUGCGGCUGUCUCACGCUAUAUCUCAGCCCCGCUGGGCGGCCAGGCUGCCUGUGGCUGUGGUCCUCGGGGCCCUGGCCCCGCUCCCGGGCCUCGGCUUGGGCUGGCGUGCGUGCGGCCCUCCCGCCUGCUGGGCGCUGUCCCGGGCUUGGUCUUUAGAUCUGAAGUUCCACCCGCGGCAUGUGGCCCAGUAAGUCCCAGCAAGAGUGGGGGACGGGAGAGUCUGGACCACAUAGGACCCGGCCCGAGGGACUCAGACGCCUGGACUCCAGAGAGGCUCCCCCAGGGCCCCGCCUCACGGGCCCGCCUUCCG
Molecule: long non-coding RNA, 1521 nt
Filed under: Sus scrofa (pig)
Lineage: Eukaryota; Metazoa; Chordata; Mammalia; Artiodactyla; Suidae
Description: lncRNA (ENSSSCG00060073800.1)
Source: RNAcentral